RNAcentral lists this ribosomal RNA (311 nucleotides) under Blastocystis sp. subtype 31. RNAcentral's name for it is "bacterial SSU rRNA". Lineage: Eukaryota; Bigyra; Opalinata; Blastocystidae. The record is from RNAcentral.
GUACCUGGAAUCCUCUUAGUAUAAAUAAAUUAACUUUCUUACUGCGGAUGAUUGCAUUCAUUCAACCUAUUGAUUUAUUUUAAGAAAAAUACUAAUUGUAUAACCGCCGAAUUAAAGAGCUUGCUCAUGUGGUAGUCUGCCUUGCUGACUUUAUUUAUUAGAAAACAAUCCGUUUCUUUCGAUCUAUGAGUGAGAAUAACUAAUCAUUUCUUACGCUUGUUUAAGGAUGUGUGUGUCUUGUUGGUGCCCGCCCAGCCAGCUAUGGUUGGGUAUUGGACUACCAUACCUUGGACGUAACGGGUAACGAAGAA